Gasterosteus aculeatus aculeatus (three-spined stickleback) is the source of this 462-nucleotide non-coding RNA. The record is from RefSeq and is a predicted model, not a curated record. NCBI's taxonomy places the organism in Eukaryota, Metazoa, Chordata, Actinopteri, Perciformes, Gasterosteidae.
GAAACCACGGGUUGAAUAAAGUAAAUUGAACAUCAUUGGCUUACAUUCAUCUGCCAAAGACUGUUUUCUAAAAUCCCAACGUUAACUCUGUUGCCGUUGGCGGAUGUUGCUGAGCGAGUUUUGACGGGAAAUGCGUCAUCUAUUGUCUGACUCAAUUUCCAACAUAACAGCCGAGUUACCAAACAAAAAAACACAUUGGUGACAAUAAGCACGGGCUGUUCGGUCGUCGCCUUCCUUCGCUUCAUUCGCAUUCAUUUGCUUGGAUGUGGUCCAGUUUUUACUUUUUGGUCGGGGACUUUAUCCCAGUAAUGACUCCAGUUUCCAUCACUGUCUGCUCCAAAACCAAACACAUGGACCUGGAAACCAUCGGGCAAGAACCAAAGCCAUGAAGCCAGUGGAGGGAUAAUCGCCUUUCUUCUGCAGCCAGACUUGAUGAAUAUUCCUCAUAAAAGCUGGGUUAAG